This 207-nucleotide long non-coding RNA is filed under the name Elaeis guineensis (African oil palm). RNAcentral's name for it is "long non-coding RNA (EGUI_LNC040246)". Lineage: Eukaryota; Viridiplantae; Streptophyta; Magnoliopsida; Arecales; Arecaceae. The record is from RNAcentral.
AUUGAGUUUCUUUUGAGCCUUUUGAAGUCUCUUCUCCUGAUUGGCAGCCUUUCCUUAGAAAACUUAAGUUUCUUCUCUAGACUCUUGAUGUGAGCAUUAAUUUUGACCACCAUCAUCAAAGGAAGAGGAGUAGCCAGUGAAGAAGCAGCAGUUAUCAUGCCGACGUCACAAACAUCAUUCGCCAACUAUGUAAAUAAUUGAAAGCGA